AGGACAGUCAACCAUACUGAUGCUUCUGCAAACUGUGGUGCACUGCUCUGUUCCUUUCUUCUGAUUCAGCUGCAUGUUAGCUGCAGGAAAUUGAAAACGAAGAUCAGGAGAGUGUUAGUGAAGGGGAGAAGAGGAGGAGGACGGGACUGACGUGCAGCCCGUCAGGGUUUUCUGGGACACAGCACACGGAAAUGAACUAGCCUUGCAUGACCCUACUCUCAAAGUGUGAGGAUGUGCGGGGCAGAAAAGCAAGAACAUUUGUUUUAGAGAACACGAGAGAUCAAAUAAGUGAUUAUAUUUAUUCAGUAAAACACUCAGGGCACAAAUCCAGUUUAAUAUUUCUUUGACAUCCUCUCCAUCCCACGCAUCCUCUCACUACUGCAUCCAAAGCUCUAUUUUAAUUCAGGGAAAACACUAAACCUUUGAGAACUACUGCACUUGCUCAGCCUUAAAAGAGCAUUUGUCCCUUGAGUGUUAAGAGUAAAAUUUUAAUGGAACCAAGAUUUGAUUUGCAACUUUUUGCGGCUUGGAGGAGAGAGAGGGGUUUCUUUUCACUGCUUGUCAUUUUCUUCACUGUAAGUGCUUUCUCUAUGUCUGUCAAUGAAAAGUGCUGAUAAAUUAUAAUGACAGUACAAAAUGA
Molecule: non-coding RNA, 640 nt
Organism: Maylandia zebra (zebra mbuna)
Lineage: Eukaryota; Metazoa; Chordata; Actinopteri; Cichliformes; Cichlidae
Source: RefSeq, a predicted model, not a curated record